GACGAACGCUGGCGGCGUGCUUAACACAUGCAAGUCGAGCGGAGCUGCCAACGGGUGAGUGACGCGUGAGUAACUGCCCCCCUCUCUGGGAUAACAGUUGGAAAAGGCUGCUAAUACCGGAUAGUGGGGGAUGACUCGCGUCCUAUCAGCUGGUUGGUGGGGUAGUGGCCUACCAAGGCGACGCCGGGUAGCCGGCCUGAGCGGGCGACCGGCCACAUUGGGCUGAGAGACGGCCCAAACUCGUACGGGAGGCAGCAGGGGGGAAUAUUGCGCAAUGGGGGAACCCCUGAUGCAGCAACGCCGCGUGCGGGAUGACGGCCUUCGGGUUGUAAACCGCUUUCAGCCAUGACGCGGUAGUGGCAGAAGAAGCACCGGCUAACUACGUGCCAGCCGCCGCGGUAAUUC
This 405-nucleotide ribosomal RNA is filed under the name uncultured bacterium. Its description in RNAcentral is "partial 16S ribosomal RNA". It matches the Rfam family "Bacterial small subunit ribosomal RNA", at positions 28 to 526 of the family's 1533-position model. The record is from RNAcentral.